This 116-nucleotide ribosomal RNA is filed under the name Bacillus thuringiensis. Lineage: Bacteria; Bacillati; Bacillota; Bacilli; Caryophanales; Bacillaceae. The record is from RNAcentral.
UCUGGGAAUGAUGGCAGAGAGGUCACACCCGUUCCCAUACCGAACACGGAAGUUAAGCUCUCUAGCGCCGAUGGUAGUUGGGACCUUGUCCCUGUGAGAGUAGGACGUCGCCAAGC